RNAcentral lists this long non-coding RNA (2590 nucleotides) under Daphnia magna. RNAcentral's name for it is "uncharacterized LOC116930382". Lineage: Eukaryota; Metazoa; Arthropoda; Branchiopoda; Diplostraca; Daphniidae. The record is from RNAcentral.
CUCUUUCCUUGCCUUCUUGCUGUCAGUCAAUCUUUUGCUCACUCACUGAUCUUUUACACUUAAUUGUGACAAGUACUUCAACAUCAUCAUUAUUGUUUUGUCCCCUGGGAUAUGGGCCCAGAUACGAAUUCAAAGUACAACACAUUGUUCGAAAUGGCGAGUUCCACCUCCAAAGAUGUCAGCCAUAUUAUUAAAUUUUAUGGAACCAACUUUUCUUCCUGGAAGUUUGGCAUUUGGAGGUUCCUAGAGAAGUUUAAGCUCACGUCAGUCGUAGACGGGACUGAAUCAUUUCCUGCUCAGACCUUGCAAGAAGGAAUAGUCACUAAUGCAGCACUCAUUGAAGCCUGGCAACAGAAAGACGUUGAUGCUCGUACCUACAUCUACUCCAUAAAUCCAUCCGUCCUUCCACGAGAAAUCUGCCAAUCGAUGGCGCGGUAAAAAUUCUGUUUUUUCUGUUUUUUGGGGUUGGGUAAAGAUAGGCAAAAAAAGACAGUUUUUGUGUUAUUGCCGCUUUAUUUCAUCCCCCGAAUCAAUUUAGCUCCCCUUCGGUUGGGAGGGGAGUUUUACGGACUUGUAGUAAAAUUGGCCUUGAAGGAACAGCCACAUUUUUGUAGUCUUUGUUUUUCCAACUCCCCUUCAAAAAUGGCUUGAAAGUAUACCCUCUUUUGGUUUGUUUUCAUUAAAUAACGAAAUUUUAAUGAGCAAAAAAAAAAAUACUAAACAUAACAUGUCGACGUAAAAUUCAAUUUUACAUCCAAUGGCUUAGGUCCCAUUAAAAUCGAACCAGAAAAAACGACACAAUAAAAAAAAUCUCUAUCUCACGGCAAAAUUACAAAAUUUGAUUUUAACAUUUAAAUAUCUCCUAAACUAAUAAAGCUACAAUUCCGAAACUUUCACGGCCGUUUUUUUUUUGCCUUUCUCCACCCAACCCAAAAAACAAAAAAAAUCGGAAUUUUUACCGCGCCAUCGAUUGGCAGAUUUCUCGUGGAAGGACCCUUUACGAUCUAUGAGGAAAGUGUGUAAAUCACUAAGUAUCCCGUACAGCACGGUUCGAUACACCAUCAUGCGAUUUAAGGAAACAAAGUCUAAUAUGGACAGACCUGACCGUGGCCGUUUUUAAGUCCUUUCUUCUUCAGACAAGCGAUCAAUUAAAAUCAUAAGUAAGAGGGAUCGAACCAAAACUAUGCCUGUCAUAACUGAAGAGUUCAACUGCAGCAGGGGAAAAAUUUGUUCACAAACUAGUAUUCGUCGUUGUCUACUGAGUUGGGGUCUUAAAGGUCGGGAUGCGGCAAAGAAGCCUUUAUUGCCAAAGCAAAAUGUUGUAAAACGGUUGGCCUUUGCUAAAGAGCACGUUAAUUGGACAAACGAUCAGUGGUCUAAAGUUUUUUUUUCAGACAAAAGUAAAUUCGAAGUUUUCGGCAACAGACGCCGUUUAUUAGUCCGAGGAUUUGAAGGCGAAAGGUUUAAAAAGCAUUGUUUACAACCUACGGUAAAGCAUGGCGGAGGUAAUGUAAUGGUAUGGGGAGCAAUUUCCGCCAAUGGUGCAAUUCCUCUAAAACUAAUUCAGGGUAUUAUGGACAUGAAGGUAACUUAAGUGGUAUCCACAGCCGUCAUUCAUUCCCACAAUAAUUAAAUUAACUUUAGUUUUAUCAUCAAGUCUUGAUUCGUAACGACCUCCCUGGUGAAAAGCGGAUUAUAGCAAGAGUGUUUGUCUUCCCAGAAGAUAAUGACCCAAAAAAUGCAUCUAAACUUUGUCGUGGAGAUCUAAAUAGAAAAGAACAGGCUGGUGAAGUUAUGCGUAUGGUGUGGCCACCUCAGAGCCCGGACCUCAACCCUAUAGAACAAAUUUGGGAUCAUCUUGACAGUAAAAUCCGAAAAAUGUGUAAAUACUCAAAGAAUGCGCUCUGGAAAAAUUUGCAGCAGACUUGGGUGGAAAUCUCAAACAAAACUUUCUCGAAAUACAUUUUUUAAUGAGAUCCCGCUGUGAAGCAGUUAUCAAAGCAAAAGGCGGUCAUACGCGGUUCUAACAUACACAUUUGUUCUGUGAUCUCUGUAUCUCAAAGCCGCAUAGCCUCCCACAUUGUGUGCUGUAAAUCAAAGAAUUAUGGUACAAUAAUUAGCAUACUAACUGAAACCUGUUAUGUUAACGCUUUAGGUAAUUGAUUGAAAUACUUUAGAGAUAAACAAACAGUAUGAAAACUGUAUUUCCCUCCCCACUUUCAGAACACAUUAUUUUUUGGCAUCUACGGGGGUAUCAGAUGUCACAGAGUUUGGUUUUACAAGACUCUCCUGCUUAUUGUAAGGAAUGCAUCAGCUCACUCUUUCUUGGAAAAAUAUCCUCCCUCUCAUUCCUGGAAACAAGUAAUUUUCCUUUCCAUCCUUUCAUUACGCUCACCUUGCGUUGGUGAUCGCGUUGACUUUGUUUGUCGUAUAAAACCCCAUCAAUUGUAAUUCUUCGUUAAUCAACGCUGGCCUGUUCACCCAGUCUAGUGUUGAUUCACCCCUUCGCGAGUCAAGUGUCAGGUCGUUUAUUCGACCUGCUACUGGCUUGCUCGUUCCCCGUUUAAACUUGUCUUAUUUGUGUCUUUGU